RNAcentral lists this ribosomal RNA (253 nucleotides) under uncultured bacterium. RNAcentral describes it as "partial 16S ribosomal RNA". It matches the Rfam family "Bacterial small subunit ribosomal RNA", at positions 524 to 776 of the family's 1533-position model. The record is from RNAcentral.
UACGGGGGGGGCAAGCGUUGUUCGGAAUUACUGGGCGUAAAGGGCUCGUAGGCGGCCAACUAAGUCGGAUGUGAAAUCCCCAGGCUUAACCUGGGAACUGCAUCUGAUACUGGAUGGCUUGAAUCCGGGAGAGGGAUGCAGAAUUCCAGGUGUAGCGGUGAAAUGCGUAGAUAUCUGGAGGAACACCGGUGGCGAAGGCGGCAUCCUGGACCAUUACUGACACUGAAAAGCGAAAGCCAGGGGAGCAAACGGG